This 67-nucleotide transfer RNA is filed under the name Marmota monax (woodchuck). RNAcentral's name for it is "tRNA.Val". Lineage: Eukaryota; Metazoa; Chordata; Mammalia; Rodentia; Sciuridae. The record is from RNAcentral.
GGUUACGGUUCAGGGGUAGAACGCUCGUCUAACAUGGGCGAGGCCCUGGGUUCGAUCCUCAGCACCA